AUGGACUCGCGAUGGCACGCCACGUUCGUCCCUGACUUCAUCACGGCGCGCACGCUCACCGCCAACGACGGUGAGAUCCUCCUUCGCCAUGGCGCGCUCCGGAUGGUGCUGCUUGACAAGCGAGGCGUGACGGUGGAUGCGCGGUACAUGGGCGAGGGCGAACGCAUCGAGUUCGAUCAGGCGAUCUCGUUUCCGUGUCAUGUGGCUAGGGUUGGACAGCGCAUUCAGUCGCCGUGCGCGCCCCCGUUGCAUGCGGGGCUCGGUAUACAGCGCGCGGAGGAGCGGCAUGCAGCGGCUGGAUGCGCGACAUCUGGCGCGGGGAGAGCUGCCGGAUCAGAUCCAUGGCCGCCCCACCGCCAUGCGGGGCCCAGCAAUGGCGUCGAGGUACUUAAUGGACACCGAGGGGGCGCGGGCACACCCAAUUCCCCACCUACCACCACUCCUACCAGAUCCGACUCGCAUCUCGCCUAUCUCUUCGGGCACCUGUGGGAGAGAUCUAGGGUUUCCUCCUCUUCCCCACCUCCGCCGCGUGAUUCCUUCGGCUGGUGGCAUGGCAAGGUCGGCGGCGACGACCGCUCCUUUGCGCAAGUCGCAGAGGGCUCGAAGAUCCGUCUCGAUCUGUCCAAGGCGAUGGGGGAUCAAGGCGGGGGGCGAUUUGGAGGGCGGCGCGACUUCGCUGGCCGUGGUGGGUUCGGGGGUGGACGCCGACCACCGCCACCCAACCAGACGCGCAACAUGGUGUGGCAGCGGCCAGAUCUAUCGUCGGGCGCGGGCGAUGGGAGGAGGGGCCAAGGAGUGGGAGACUCAGAAGAUGGCGGCCCCCAAGGAUGCGAAUCCUCCCCCUGCUGCUGA
This 852-nucleotide ribosomal RNA is filed under the name Triticum aestivum (bread wheat). RNAcentral's name for it is "partial small subunit ribosomal RNA". Lineage: Eukaryota; Viridiplantae; Streptophyta; Magnoliopsida; Poales; Poaceae. The record is from RNAcentral.